AAAGGGAAGGUGCUGUGAAGAGG
Molecule: non-coding RNA, 23 nt
Filed under: Cricetulus griseus (Chinese hamster)
Lineage: Eukaryota; Metazoa; Chordata; Mammalia; Rodentia; Cricetidae
Source: RNAcentral